This 1104-nucleotide long non-coding RNA is filed under the name Homo sapiens (human). RNAcentral's name for it is "PREDICTED lncRNA (TCONS_00016163)". Lineage: Eukaryota; Metazoa; Chordata; Mammalia; Primates; Hominidae. The record is from RNAcentral.
GAGGUUCGCGCUGGUGGAGCACCCCAGCUUGCAGGUUCAGCGUGGGUGUCUCUCCCGGGCACAUCGAGCUGUCUAGAGGAACCCUCUUCCCCUGGCUUCACGGCCCAGAGGACGCACGGCUCUCUCCCCUCGAGAGCGUGUUUCGUCGCCCGCGCGGGGAACGCAAAGUGCUAGGGUAGUCACGGCCACUUCACGCCGAGGGACAUCUCAUCUCGCCCUCCAGGUCGUGAGCGCACCCAUUCCGCUCACUGAGGCCGAAAGCUUCGGACCUCCGUGGGCCCUGAGACUUCAGCGUUCCAUGUCUGCUGUGCUGUGGAACCCAGAGUGCUCUUGCCUGGAUGGCUGAGAAUCCCUUGGACCCUGGAAGCACCUACUCCAUGAUGGCCCGCAGGAGGACCAAACUGGAGACAGUCCUGGCUCUGAGGAAACAGGAAGGAAGGAGGGUGAAAGGAACGUCCACCUGCACACAAAGGAAAGAUGAAAAAGAGUCACCUACCAUGGGACCUGGCAAAGUACUUCAGAACUUUUAUUCCUUCCAGAAGCAGGUAAGUACCCCAAGUCCUCAUCGUAUUCCCAGCAUAGGGCUUGGUAUACGGGGGGAUAUUUCAUUCAGCAUAUUGGCUGAAUGAAAGGUCUGAUAGGUAUACCUGGGAGAAGGUCCUUAGGGACAUGGCUUAAAAAAUGAGAGAGGGGCAGGGCAGUGAGUCUAAAAGGAUGUGGAUGCUCACAUCUGCUCUUACAAUCAUGCUACAGUUCAUUUAUUGAGUGGAAACAGUUCCCUACUUAUUGACAAUUCAUUUACUGAAUAGGUAAUCAGUAAAUACAUUUUGUAUCAAUCUAACAAUUAGGCAUAAACUACAGCCUCCUACACCCAAUAUCUGAGGUGUUCUAAGAUUUAACUACUCAAAUGUUUGAUAUUUGAUAAAUUGUUUAAGUUCUCUGCAAUUCAGUUCCACCUCCUAUAACAGCACUUCUGAAAAUGUGGUCUGUGAACCUCUGAGGGGUUCCUGAGACACUGUCAGGGAGCAAGUGAGACAUGGCUAUUUUUAUAAUAUUAAACUAUUAGCCUUUGUCACUGUGUUGUCAUUUACCUAGGAUAGGUAC